This is a long non-coding RNA of Cajanus cajan (pigeon pea), 441 nucleotides long. RefSeq lists it as uncharacterized. NCBI's taxonomy places the organism in Eukaryota, Viridiplantae, Streptophyta, Magnoliopsida, Fabales, Fabaceae. The record is from RefSeq and is a predicted model, not a curated record.
AUGAGAUGAAAAUAAUGGGAGUUCCUAUUUUGGUCUUGAUUAUGUUGAACUUGGCAGAAGCUGAUUAUAAUCCUUCACUUGUAAAAGUUGUACCAAACAUUGUGUUUAAUAAACUCACAUGUCCUGCCCAAUGUGGCGUAGAUUGUCUAUUAUCUAUCCUUGGGUAUCCAGUAUGUUUUGCUAUUUGUGUUGCAAAAUGCCCUAAAACGUCUAUUGAUGUCGACAAUUGUAUCGCUACCUGUGGCAUAAACAAGUCCAUUAUCAUCAACAUUGAUGCUCGUGGUGAUGUGGUCUCCAUGGUGGAUUCUUGCUUACAAAAAUGUCAGAGAAAGUAAUUUGUUAAUUUUAAUAAUGUUGAAGAACAAGGUUAUUAGGGAAAAUAAUACAUAUGCGUGGCUGUAAUAAACAGAUAUUAAUCAAUGAGUAAUAUUUGUAUUUUUA